This 303-nucleotide ribosomal RNA is filed under the name uncultured bacterium. RNAcentral describes it as "partial 16S ribosomal RNA". It matches the Rfam family "Bacterial small subunit ribosomal RNA", at positions 507 to 807 of the family's 1533-position model. The record is from RNAcentral.
AGCAGUAGCCGCGGGAAUACAGAGGGUGCGAGCGUUAAUCGGAUUUACUGGGCGUAAAGCGUGCGUAGGCGGCUUCUUAAGUCGGAUGUGAAAUCCCUGAGCUUAACUUAGGAAUUGCAUUCGAUACUGGGAAGCUAGAGUAUGGGAGAGGAUGGUAGAAUCCCAGGUGUAGCGGUGAAAUGCGUAGAGAUCUGGAGGAAUACCGAUGGCGAAGGCAGCCAUCUGGCCUAAUACUGACGCUGAGGUACGAAAGCAUGGGGAGCAAACAGGAUUAGAUACCCCGGUAGUUCCUGUCUCUUAUAC